This 597-nucleotide ribosomal RNA is filed under the name Micrococcus sp. AE46. RNAcentral's name for it is "bacterial SSU rRNA". It matches the Rfam family "Bacterial small subunit ribosomal RNA", at positions 67 to 677 of the family's 1533-position model. The record is from RNAcentral. Lineage: Bacteria; Bacillati; Actinomycetota; Actinomycetes; Micrococcales; Micrococcaceae.
CGAUGAAGCCCAGCUUGCUGGGUGGAUUAGUGGCGAACGGGUGAGUAACACGUGAGUAACCUGCCCUUAACUCUGGGAUAAGCCUGGGAAACUGGGUCUAAUACCGGAUAGGAGCGUCCACCGCAUGGUGGGUGUUGGAAAGAUUUAUCGGUUUUGGAUGGACUCGCGGCCUAUCAGCUUGUUGGUGAGGUAAUGGCUCACCAAGGCGACGACGGGUAGCCGGCCUGAGAGGGUGACCGGCCACACUGGGACUGAGACACGGCCCAGACUCCUACGGGAGGCAGCAGUGGGGAAUAUUGCACAAUGGGCGAAAGCCUGAUGCAGCGACGCCGCGUGAGGGAUGACGGCCUUCGGGUUGUAAACCUCUUUCAGUAGGGAAGAAGCGAAAGUGACGGUACCUGCAGAAGAAGCACCGGCUAACUACGUGCCAGCAGCCGCGGUAAUACGUAGGGUGCGAGCGUUAUCCGGAAUUAUUGGGCGUAAAGAGCUCGUAGGCGGUUUGUCGCGUCUGUCGUGAAAGUCCGGGGCUUAACCCCGGAUCUGCGGUGGGUACGGGCAGACUAGAGUGCAGUAGGGGAGACUGGAAUUCCUGGUGUA